Molecule: transfer RNA, 75 nt
Filed under: Nitrososphaerota archaeon
Lineage: Archaea; Thermoproteati; Nitrososphaerota
Description: tRNA-Arg
Rfam family: tRNA
About the family: Transfer RNA (tRNA) molecules are approximately 80 nucleotides in length. Their secondary structure includes four short double-helical elements and three loops (D, anti-codon, and T loops).
Source: RNAcentral
GGGCCCGUAGCUCAGCAUGGAUAGAGCGCUGGCCUUCGAAGCCGGAGGCCCCGGGUUCAAAUCCCGGCGGGCCCG